Molecule: ribosomal RNA, 253 nt
Filed under: uncultured bacterium
Lineage: Bacteria
Description: partial 16S ribosomal RNA
Rfam family: Bacterial small subunit ribosomal RNA
Source: RNAcentral
UACGUAGGGUGCGAGCGUUAAUCGGAAUUACUGGGCGUAAAGCGUGCGCAGGCGGUUUUGUAAGCCAGAUGUGAAAUCCCCGGGCUUAACCUGGGAAUGGCAUUUGGGACUGCAAAGCUUGAGUGCGGCAGAGGGGACUGGAAUUCCUGGUGUAGCAGUGAAAUGCGUAGAGAUCAGGAGGAAUACCGAUGGCGAAGGCAGGUCCCUGGGCUGACACUGACGCUCAUGCACGAAAGCGUGGGGAGCAAACAGG